Molecule: transfer RNA, 79 nt
Filed under: Bartonella quintana
Lineage: Bacteria; Pseudomonadati; Pseudomonadota; Alphaproteobacteria; Hyphomicrobiales; Bartonellaceae
Description: tRNA-Ile
Rfam family: tRNA
About the family: Transfer RNA (tRNA) molecules are approximately 80 nucleotides in length. Their secondary structure includes four short double-helical elements and three loops (D, anti-codon, and T loops).
Source: RNAcentral
AGGGCUUGUAGCUCAGCUGGUUAGAGCGCGCGCUUGAUAAGCGUGAGGUCGGAGGUUCAAGUCCUCCCAGGCCCACCAA